This 57-nucleotide transfer RNA is filed under the name Daphnia pulex (common water flea). It matches the Rfam family "tRNA", at positions 8 to 63 of the family's 71-position model. From Rfam's summary of the family: Transfer RNA (tRNA) molecules are approximately 80 nucleotides in length. Their secondary structure includes four short double-helical elements and three loops (D, anti-codon, and T loops). The record is from Rfam by way of RNAcentral. Lineage: Eukaryota; Metazoa; Arthropoda; Branchiopoda; Diplostraca; Daphniidae.
UAGCUCAAUGGUAGAGCAGCGGCCUUGAAAACCAAAGGUCUGUGGUUCGAUUCCCAG